AACGCUAGCUACAGGCUUAACACAUGCAAGUCGAGGGGCAGCGCAAAGAUUAGCUUGCUAAUUUUGGCGGCGACCGGCGGAUGGGUGAGUAACACGUAUGCAACCUACCUUUAACACGGGCAUAACCCGGAGAAAUCCGGACUAAUUCCCGAUAAUACAGGGGCUCCGCAUGGAGAUAUUUGUUAAAGAUUUAUUGGUUAAAGAUGGGCAUGCGCUCCAUUAGUUAGUUGGUGAGGUAACGGCUCACCAAGGCAUCGAUGGAUAGGGGAACUGAGAGGUUUAUCCCCCACACUGGGACUGAGACACGGCCCAGACUCCUACGGGAGGCAGCAGUGAGGAAUAUUGGUCAAUGAGGGCAACCUUGAACCAGCCAAGUCGCGUGAAGGAUGACUGUCCUAAGGAUUGUAAACUUCUUUUAUAUGGGAAUAAUUGUAGCCACGUGUGGUUAUUUGCAUGUACCAUAUGAAUAAGGAUCGGCUAACUCCGUGCCAGCAGCCGCGGUAAUACGGAGGAUCCAAGCGUUAUCCGGAUUUAUUGGGUUUAAAGGGUGCGCAGGCGGGAGAUUAAGUCGGUGGUGAAAUUUUGCGGCUCAACCGUAAGAGUGCCAUCGAAACUGGUUUUCUUGAGUGUAGAUGAAGUAGGCGGAAUUUGUGGUGUAGCGGUGAAAUGCAUAGAUAUCACGAAGAACUCCGAUUG
Molecule: ribosomal RNA, 696 nt
Filed under: uncultured bacterium
Lineage: Bacteria
Description: bacterial SSU rRNA
Rfam family: Bacterial small subunit ribosomal RNA
Source: RNAcentral